UUUAAAGGCAGUAACCUUUGUUUGCAGUAGCUUUUCAAUUCACUCAAAAAUCCUUUGCCUCAAGAAACAAUUACCUCACAAAACUAUAAACCAAAUAUAAAGAAGUAGCUUUAUUUGAUUUCUAUCAACAAACCUGUUAUUUAGAUUAUCCAUGGUUUUCAUAUUUUUAAGAAACUCUCUGCAUUAAAUCCUCCUUAGAAUCUAUUUUGGUGACAUUUAAAGCUUAUUUGCAUACAUAUUUGCAUAAACAAAUGCAAAGAUUAUGCUUACAAAAGUAAAUAUGACAAAAUCAUGGGAUGGAUGUCUCAAAACAGAGUUUGGUGUGCUAAGUAAAAAUACCUCUACUAGGAAAUAUCACAUUCUUUCUUGAAGAGCUGCACAACCAUUUCUAAGACAGCACAGUAAUGAAAGGUGAAAAGGUUUAUUUAAUUAUUUCUGUGCAGUGUUUCUGCUUAUAGUAGCUAGCUUGGUUUUUAUUUUGUCUUUAGGUUUUGGGGGGCUUAAUGAGGUGAGAUGAGACAUUAUGAGUUUAACAGACUCAGCCUGAAGCUAGCUUAUCUGGAUGAGGGAUGGAUGGAAACAACUCAAGACACUUCAGCUGCAGCCCUGGUUCUCACUACCUGCCCACAGCUCACUGAACACCUUAGACUAGAGAGACUAAGUAUUUUAGAAAUUUCAGAACUCUGCAAAUUCAUUACAACUUACUCAGUCACUCAUGUUUCCAACUGGCAUUGAUCCUGUAAAAGCCUGGCUCUGAAGCACACCAGCAUCAACUGGGUAAAAGUGAACACAUGAAAACAGCUGAUAGACAAACACAAGCAGACAGAGCAGUGCCUGUUCUUCUGCCUGGUUCUCCCCUCAUCCUCUCUGGACCCAGCCUUCUGUUCCAUGUUCUCUGUCAAAUACCUGCAUCUAGGAUAGGGGACAGCUUUAGCACUCAGUUGUACAACAUCCUGUGCAGAAUAACUACAGCAACACAAAAAAUACUUCCAGCUUCAGAGAUUAGACAGAGCAUCCAAAUAUAAAUGGUUGAUCACAACCUCUCAGUAACAGUCAACAGAGCUUUCAUUACAUUUCCAUCAAACCCACAGUUAAUGCUAUGAAUAACUAGCAAUAUCUUUUAAUCAAGAAUUCAUUACUUUCUUCAAGGUCAAUAGAGAGGACUACCUGGUUUUGGUGAUCCCUAUUCAAAGGUGGGGUUUCUUAGCUAUUUCGCUGUUCAGGGCAUAAUCAUAUUACACAAUACACCUUGCAAUCAAAGUAUCAGUUUCUCAAAAGCCACAGAAAUUUAUAUGUAGAUGUCUUUACGUAGCUAAGAGCUCACGCAAGCCCCACAGUACUGCAGUGCUUAUUGAGUAACAUAGGAUAUACACAAAUUCAAAGUAUAUUUAGAAAUUUUACUCAUAUCCCACAAGGCUUUGGUGACCCGAGUCAGACAUAAAUGUAUAUAUUUCUAAAUGACAGUCUAAAGCAAUCAGAACUGACAGAAGUUAAGAAUAAAAUUGUGCCCUUCCAUAGUGACA
This 1523-nucleotide long non-coding RNA is filed under the name Lonchura striata (white-rumped munia). RNAcentral's name for it is "domestica (Bengalese finch) lncRNA (ENSLSDG00000016788.1)". The record is from RNAcentral. Lineage: Eukaryota; Metazoa; Chordata; Aves; Passeriformes; Estrildidae.